RNAcentral lists this ribosomal RNA (301 nucleotides) under uncultured bacterium. RNAcentral describes it as "partial 16S ribosomal RNA". It matches the Rfam family "Bacterial small subunit ribosomal RNA", at positions 509 to 807 of the family's 1533-position model. The record is from RNAcentral.
CAGCCGCCACGGUAAUACAGAGGGUGCGAGCGUUAAUCGGAUUUACUGGGCGUAAAGCGUGCGUAGGCGGCUUUUUAAGUCGGAUGUGAAAUCCCUGAGCUUAACUUAGGAAUUGCAUUCGAUACUGGGAAGCUAGAGUAUGGGAUAGGAUGGUAGAAUUCCAGGUGUAGCGGUGAAAUGCGUAGAGAUCUGGAGGAAUACCGAUGGCGAAGGCAGCCAUCUGGCCUAAUACUGACGCUGAGGUACGAAAGCAUGGGGAGCAAACAGGAUUAGAUACCCCUGUAGUCCCUGUCUCUUAUAC